RNAcentral lists this transfer RNA (67 nucleotides) under Macridiscus semicancellata. RNAcentral's name for it is "tRNA-Pro". The record is from RNAcentral. Lineage: Eukaryota; Metazoa; Mollusca; Bivalvia; Venerida; Veneridae.
UCAAGCUAUAGUUUAGUUAAAAUACUAGUUUUGGGUAUUAGAGAAGUAUGUUUAUUACUAGCUUGAG